UACGUAGGGGGCGAGCGUUGUCCGGAUUUACUGGGCGUAAAGCGCGUGUAGGCGGCUGCUUAAGUCGGGUGUGAAAGCCCGGGGCUCAACCCCGGGAUGCCGCCCGAGACUGGGCGGCUUGAGGUCGGAAGAGGGGAGUGGAAUUCCAGGUGUAGCGGUGAAAUGCGUAGAGAUCGGGAGGAACACCUGUGGCGAAAGCGGCGCACUGGACCACAUCUGACGCUGAGGCGCGAAAGCUAGGGGAGCAAACAGG
RNAcentral lists this ribosomal RNA (253 nucleotides) under uncultured bacterium. Its description in RNAcentral is "partial 16S ribosomal RNA". It matches the Rfam family "Bacterial small subunit ribosomal RNA", at positions 524 to 776 of the family's 1533-position model. The record is from RNAcentral.